GGGAUUGUGGCUCAGUGGCAGAGCCCUUGCCUCACAUGUAUGAGGCUCUGGGUUUGAUCCUCAGCACCA
RNAcentral lists this transfer RNA (69 nucleotides) under Urocitellus parryii (Arctic ground squirrel). RNAcentral's name for it is "Spermophilus parryii (Arctic ground squirrel) tRNA". It matches the Rfam family "tRNA". From Rfam's summary of the family: Transfer RNA (tRNA) molecules are approximately 80 nucleotides in length. Their secondary structure includes four short double-helical elements and three loops (D, anti-codon, and T loops). Lineage: Eukaryota; Metazoa; Chordata; Mammalia; Rodentia; Sciuridae. RNAcentral also lists the same sequence under 2 other names. The record is from Rfam by way of RNAcentral.